AUAGAUCUAAGGCUGAAUUCCGGCUCGAUCCGGAAGCGGAGGACCCAAUCAAUACGGGGUGAAAUCUGCUUAAUGCAGAAAGGGUGAACAUGAUCUCUCUUGCCACCCGAACCCGACAGCUAACUUCGUAAGCCGAUGCGAGAAGAGGG
This 149-nucleotide small RNA is filed under the name Tumebacillus algifaecis. RNAcentral's name for it is "c-di-AMP sequence". It matches the Rfam family "c-di-AMP riboswitch aptamer (ydaO/yuaA leader)". From Rfam's summary of the family: This family represents a conserved RNA structure found upstream of the ydaO and yuaA genes in Bacillus subtilis and related genes in other bacteria. Lineage: Bacteria; Bacillati; Bacillota; Bacilli; Caryophanales; Alicyclobacillaceae. The record is from Rfam by way of RNAcentral.